CCUACGGGGGGCAGCAGUGGGGAAUAUUGGACAAUGGGCGAAAGCCUGAUCCAGCCAUGCCGCGUGUGUGAAGAAGGCCUUCGGGUUGUAAAGCACUUUCAGUGGGGAAGAAAGCCUUGGGGCUAAUACCCUCGAGGAAGGUCAUCACCCACAGAAGAAGCACCGGCUAACUCCGUGCCAGCAGCCGCGGUAAUACGGAGGGUGCGAGCGUUAAUCGGAAUUACUGGGCGUAAAGCGCGCGUAGGGCGGUCUGAUAAGCCGGUUGUGAAAGCCCCGGGCUCAACCUGGGAACGGCAUCCGGAACUGUCAGGCUAGAGUGCAGGAGAGGAAGGUAGAAUUCCCGGUGUAGCGGUGAAAUGCGUAGAGAUCGGGAGGAAUACCAGUGGCGAAGGCGGCCUUCUGGACUGACACUGACGCUGAGGUGCGAAAGCGUGGGUAGCAAACAGGAUUAGAUACCCGGGUAGUC
RNAcentral lists this ribosomal RNA (466 nucleotides) under Vreelandella stevensii. RNAcentral's name for it is "partial 16S ribosomal RNA". It matches the Rfam family "Bacterial small subunit ribosomal RNA", at positions 338 to 795 of the family's 1533-position model. Lineage: Bacteria; Pseudomonadati; Pseudomonadota; Gammaproteobacteria; Oceanospirillales; Halomonadaceae. The record is from RNAcentral.